ACGUAGCUCAGUUGGUUAGAGCGUCGGAUUGUGGUUCCGAAGGUCGCGGGUUCGAACCCCGUCGUUCGCCC
This 71-nucleotide transfer RNA is filed under the name Chlamydia trachomatis. Its description in RNAcentral is "tRNA-His". It matches the Rfam family "tRNA". Rfam says of the family: Transfer RNA (tRNA) molecules are approximately 80 nucleotides in length. Their secondary structure includes four short double-helical elements and three loops (D, anti-codon, and T loops). Further hydrogen bonds mediate the characteristic L-shaped molecular structure. tRNAs have two regions of fundamental functional importance: the anti-codon, which is responsible for specific mRNA codon recognition, and the 3' end, to which the tRNAs corresponding amino acid is attached (by aminoacyl-tRNA synthetases). tRNAs cope with the degeneracy of the genetic code in two manners: having more than one tRNA (with a specific anti-codon) for a particular amino acid; and 'wobble' base-pairing, i.e. permitting non-standard base-pairing at the 3rd anti-codon position. Lineage: Bacteria; Pseudomonadati; Chlamydiota; Chlamydiia; Chlamydiales; Chlamydiaceae. The record is from RNAcentral.